GAUGAACGCUGGCGGCGUGCCUAAUACAUGCAAGUCGAGCGAACAGACGAGGAGCUUGCUCCUCUGACGUUAGCGGCGGACGGGUGAGUAACACGUGGAUAACCUACCUAUAAGACUGGGAUAACUUCGGGAAACCGGAGCUAAUACCGGAUAACAUGUUGAACCGCAUGGUUCAACAGUGAAAGACGGUCUUGCUGUCACUUAUAGAUGGAUCCGCGCCGCAUUAGCUAGUUGGUAAGGUAACGGCUUACCAAGGCAACGAUGCGUAGCCGACCUGAGAGGGUGAUCGGCCACACUGGAACUGAGACACGGUCCAGACUCCUACGGGAGGCAGCAGUAGGGAAUCUUCCGCAAUGGGCGAAAGCCUGACGGAGCAACGCCGCGUGAGUGAAGAAGGUCUUCGGAUCGUAGAACUCUGUUAUUAGGGAAGAACAAAUGUGUAAGUAACUAUGCACGUCUUGACGGUACCUAAUCAGAAAGCCACGGCUAACUACGUG
RNAcentral lists this ribosomal RNA (497 nucleotides) under uncultured bacterium. RNAcentral describes it as "partial 16S ribosomal RNA". It matches the Rfam family "Bacterial small subunit ribosomal RNA", at positions 28 to 507 of the family's 1533-position model. The record is from RNAcentral.